GAGUGAACUAGCUAACUGAAAUCACAAGAUCCACUACUUGUGGUGAAUGUAAUAACGUAAGGGAAAAAAAUGAUAUUACCUUACUAUUAGUGUUGUCCAAAACUGGUGCCAGAAGACUCGGUAAGGCCAGAGACGCAAACGUUAGUCGUCCUAAUCAGGCGUAAAGGGUAUGUAGGCUGCUUUAAAAGUUUUAUAUUUAAUAGCUAAUAUAAACAAAGUUUCAACUUUUAAAUAGAAAAAUAUAAAAUGAAUUAAAGCUAGGAUCAAAUUGAGGAUAAUAAAUAACACCUAGUGUAGGGUUUAAAUCUGAUGAUAUUAGGUGGAGUACUAACGGUGAAAGCUUUUUAUCUAGAAAUGAUUGACGCUGAGAAACGAAGGUGAGAAUAGGAAAUAGGAUUAGAUACCCAGAUACCUCUCACAGUCAACGAUGAAUGGUGGUUGUUACUUAGUUUUAUUUAAGUGAUAACGAUGUUAACACGAUAACCAUUCCGCCUUGCGAGUACGGUUGCAAAACUGAAACCAAAAAAAUUAGUCGGUCUCGAAGCAAA
This 548-nucleotide ribosomal RNA is filed under the name Entoloma jubatum. Its description in RNAcentral is "SSU rRNA". It matches the Rfam family "Bacterial small subunit ribosomal RNA", at positions 385 to 929 of the family's 1533-position model. Lineage: Eukaryota; Fungi; Basidiomycota; Agaricomycetes; Agaricales; Entolomataceae. The record is from RNAcentral.